Non-coding RNA from Sus scrofa (pig), 1741 nucleotides. Lineage: Eukaryota; Metazoa; Chordata; Mammalia; Artiodactyla; Suidae. The record is from RefSeq and is a predicted model, not a curated record.
UCAAACCUGCAUCCUCCCAGAGACAAUGUCAGGUCCUUAACCCGCCAAGCCACAACAGAAACUCCUCAUCAUUUUUUAAAUUAAUUUUUUUCAUUUUAAAGAACUGUAUCCUUGAAGACUUGAUGUGAUCUGUCUCACACCCGUUCAACAAGUGUGUUUCCUCGGUUCAGAGUAUUGUGUAUGCCUUUUGGUUUCCAAUGUGUUGCUCUGGUUCUGGAACUGACUGAACAAUCCAGUGUCUAAACACAGGGCCAGAACUAAGGUCAACUCAUAUCUUCCCCAGCUGUGCGGUCAGGUUCCUGGUGGUUGCUGGGGGAUAUUGUGGAUUCCUGAUGACUUUCCUGCCUUUAGUAAUAAGUGGGUUUUUUUAAAUAAGGAUUUUUAAAAAUCGUAUGGAAGCCAAUCUUGCUUGAGCUGCAUAAUGAUUAGAUAUAUGCUUAUUACAUAGCAGGCUUUUCAUCACUCCUAGUUAGGGCCUAAAUAGAUAGGGUAUAAAUAUGGGCAUCAGACCAUGCUUACGUCUGCUCCUGUACUGAACAGGAGAGCUUAUAAAUACGCAGAGCUAUAUGACCAAAAGCACAAUGUGAUUUGAAUAGGCUCUCCACCCCCCAGGCUUUUACUGGAACAUUAUUCAUGACUGGUUUCCAUUAAUCACUGAAUGAAGUUUUGUUUCUUCCCCUUACUGUUACAGUGUUGUCUCUGCUGAUGACAACAUGAAUUGCCACAGGCCAGAGCUUGUUUAUAUUAUGUGUGCCAUUUCUCCAGUUGAGUACAUAGUCAGUACUGAAUGGUAAAUUAAAGAUUCCCAAAAGACAAGCAUACUUGGCUCCAUUAUAUUACUAUGAUGAAUCUGCCAUUAAUACGGUUCUAAUUGUUUUACUUUUAUAGACAUAAAAUCAGUCCCCUUAGUGACUAAUAAUAGGGUUUAUUGAUUUUACUCGACAUUAUUCAUUCCAGCCCUGCUCCUAUCAGCCUGUCCUGAACAUAUGCAAAAAGCCUGCAGUGCUGACACAGUGCAAAUUAACUUCAUGGAGAAAUGAGAAUGAAGAGUUGUUUACAGCUGUGGUCCCAGCGAAUACAGAAUAUUAAAAACAAGGAGGGGAAGACGCCUUUCUGGGACGCAUUGAAUACUCACUCCUCAAUCAUCAUGGAGAAGAAGACAAGAAUGUCAGGACUUCCUCAGGCUACGAAGGCAAGCAGGCUGCACUCUGGAGAGAAAAGAGGAGCUCGAGACCAUCCUUCCUGGAACAGAGAUGGAGCUGGCGGGAUGGUAAGGGCACUGGAGCAUUAGGAAGAGCACGCGCUGGGCACCAGUAUUCCAAGGUUGACACAUAUAUGCUCUACUUGCUUUGUCUAACAUAUCUCCCAGUCUAUCAGCUCUUUUAAUCUUGUUGUGGCGGCAAGGAGACAAGGACCUGCAGGAUGAGGCAACCACUCUAGGAUAUGAAGGGAGGUCCUGGGCACAGAGUGGACAAGAAUCGUCCUGGAGAACAGAUACAGCCAAGCUCUAGAUGGAAGUUGAGUGGGAGAAGUUUGCAAGGUAGGAGGGGAAUAAAAUAGUACAUUUAGGAUUGAAAGGCGCUGCUGCUUUUAAUUAAUCAUUCAGUCUUUGCCAUAAGCUUGACUUAACUCCCUGAUAUGCCUUAUGCCAGUUAUUCCUUGUGUAUUUCCUCCUGCUUCUUUGAAUGGAUUUGGGGCGACAGGCUAUUAUACAUUUUUUUUUUUUUGUCUUUUUGCCAUU